GAUGAACGCUAGCUACAGGCUUAACACAUGCAAGUCGAGGGGCAGCAUGACGGAAGCUUGCUUCCGUUGAUGGCGACCGGCGCACGGGUGAGUAACGCGUAUCCAACCUGCCCUUGUCCAUCGGAUAACCCGUCGAAAGGCGGACUAACACGAUAUGCAGUUCUCAGCAGGCAUCUAACGAGAACGAAAUGUGAAGGAGAAGGAUGGGGAUGCGUCUGAUUAGCUUGUUGGCGGGGUAACGGCCCACCAAGGCGACGAUCAGUAGGGGUUCUGAGAGGAAGGUCCCCCACAUUGGAACUGAGACACGGUCCAAACUCCUACGGGAGGCAGCAGUGAGGAAUAUUGGUCAAUGGGCGAGAGCUUGAACCAGCCAAGUAGCGUGCAGGAUGACGGCCCUAUGGGUUGUAGACUGCUUUUAUAUGGGGAUAAAGUGAGCUACGUGUGGCUUAUUGCAGGUACCAUAUGAAUAAGGACCGGCUAAUUCCGUGCCAGCCGCCGCAGUAA
RNAcentral lists this ribosomal RNA (504 nucleotides) under uncultured bacterium. RNAcentral describes it as "partial 16S ribosomal RNA". It matches the Rfam family "Bacterial small subunit ribosomal RNA", at positions 28 to 523 of the family's 1533-position model. The record is from RNAcentral.